Molecule: ribosomal RNA, 289 nt
Filed under: uncultured Deinococcus sp.
Lineage: Bacteria; Thermotogati; Deinococcota; Deinococci; Deinococcales; Deinococcaceae
Description: partial 16S ribosomal RNA
Source: RNAcentral
CUACAGGGGUUUCUAAUCCGGUUCGCUCCCCACACUUUCGCGCCUCAGCGUCACCUUCUGUCCAAGAACCUGCCUUCGCCAUGGGUGUUCCUCCUGGUAUCUACGCAUUCCACCGCUACACCAGGAAUUCCGGUUCUCUCUCCAGAGGUCAAGCUUGCCAGUAUCCAGUCCACGCCCGCAGUUGAGCUGCGGUCUUUAAAACCAGACUUAACAAGCCGCCUACACGCCCUUUACGCCCAGUGAUUCCGGGUAACGCUUGCACCCUCCGUAUUACCGCGGCUGCUGGCAC